RNAcentral lists this ribosomal RNA (600 nucleotides) under uncultured Clostridium sp. RNAcentral describes it as "bacterial SSU rRNA". It matches the Rfam family "Bacterial small subunit ribosomal RNA", at positions 897 to 1501 of the family's 1533-position model. The record is from RNAcentral. Lineage: Bacteria; Bacillati; Bacillota; Clostridia; Eubacteriales; Clostridiaceae.
AAACUCAAAGGAAUUGACGGGGGCCCGCACAAGCAGCGGAGCAUGUGGUUUAAUUCGAAGCAACGCGAAGAACCUUACCUGGACUUGACAUCCCUUGCAUAACCUAGAGAUAGGCGAAGCCCUUCGGGGCAAGGAGACAGGUGGUGCAUGGUUGUCGUCAGCUCGUGUCGUGAGAUGUUAGGUUAAGUCCUGCAACGAGCGCAACCCUUAUUAUUAGUUGCUACCAUUAAGUUGAGCACUCUAAUGAGACUGCCUGGGUAACCAGGAGGAAGGUGGGGAUGACGUCAAAUCAUCAUGCCCCUUAUGUCCAGGGCUACACACGUGCUACAAUGAUGGGUACAGAGAGACGCAAGACCGUGAGGUGGAGCAAAUCUCAAAAGCCUAUCCCAGUUCGGAUUGUAGGCUGCAACUCGCCUACAUGAAGUUGGAGUUGCUAGUAAUCGCGAAUCAGAAUGUCGCGGUGAAUACGUUCCCGGGCCUUGUACACACCGCCCGUCACACCAUGAGAGCUGGUAACACCCGAAGUCCGUGAGGCAACCUUUUGGAGCCAGCGGCCGAAGGUGGGAUUAGUGAUUGGGGUGAAGUCGUAACAAGGUAACC